CUAGAAAUUAUACUUUGAACCUGAAAAGCCUGCCAGAUGAAAAUAGCACUGAGAGAUAUUUUUCAGCAAAAAGUUCUGCUUCUGAAGAAUCAGCAUCUAUAAAAGAAAAAGGAAAUAGUUCUCCAAAAAUUCUCACUGUGCUUCUUACAUACUAAUGCCUACUGUACUGAUCUGUCAUCCAGAGAAAGAAAGGGGGAAGCACCUCUUACAGCCACACAAAAUCAUGCGAACCAGCAAUGUGCAACUAUAUUACCCACCCUGGAAAAAUAAUGGAUUAUGGUUCCACUUGCUGGCGUAACACAAUCUACAACAUAGUUCUGGGAUGUGAGCUAACCCCUGAAACAAUGACUUUACUGAAAGAAUCAAGCCUCGGC
Molecule: long non-coding RNA, 374 nt
Organism: Oxyura jamaicensis (ruddy duck)
Lineage: Eukaryota; Metazoa; Chordata; Aves; Anseriformes; Anatidae
Exons: 3
Source: RefSeq, a predicted model, not a curated record